UACGUAGGGUGCGAGCGUUGUCCGGAAUUAUUGGGCGUAAAGAGCUCGUAGGCGGUUUGUCGCGUCUGCUGUGAAAACUGGGGGCUCAACCCCCAGCCUGCAGUGGGUACGGGCAGACUAGAGUGCGGUAGGGGAGAUUGGAAUUCCUGGUGUAGCGGUGGAAUGCGCAGAUAUCAGGAGGAACACCGAUGGCGGAAGGCAGAUCUCUGGGCCGUAACUGACGCUGAGGAGCGAAAGCGUGGGGAGCAAACAGG
RNAcentral lists this ribosomal RNA (254 nucleotides) under uncultured bacterium. RNAcentral describes it as "partial 16S ribosomal RNA". It matches the Rfam family "Bacterial small subunit ribosomal RNA", at positions 524 to 776 of the family's 1533-position model. The record is from RNAcentral.